UGGGGAAUUUUGGACAAUGGGGGAAACCCUGUUCCAGCCAUCCCGCGUGUGCGAUGAAGGCCUUCGGGUUGUAAAGCACUUUUGGCAGGAAAGAAACGUCAUGGGUUAAUACCCCGUGAAACUGACGGUACCUGCAGAAUAAGCACCGGCUAACUACGUGCCAGCAGCCGCGGUAAUACGUAGGGUGCAAGCGUUAAUCGGCAUUACUGGGCGUAAAGCGUGCGCAGGCGGUUCGGAAAGAAAGAUGUGAAAUCCCAGAGCUCAACUUUGGAACUGCAUUUUUAACUACCGGGCUAGAGUGUGUCAGAGGGAGGUGGAAUUCCGCGUGUAGCAGUGAAAUGCGUAGAUAUGCGGAGGAACACCGAUGGCGAAGGCAGCCUCCUGGGAUAACACUGACGCUCAUGCACGAAAGCGUGGGGAGCAAACAGG
Molecule: ribosomal RNA, 429 nt
Filed under: Acidobacteriota bacterium
Lineage: Bacteria; Pseudomonadati; Acidobacteriota
Description: Acidobacteria bacterium partial 16S ribosomal RNA
Rfam family: Bacterial small subunit ribosomal RNA
Source: RNAcentral